RNAcentral lists this ribosomal RNA (456 nucleotides) under uncultured eukaryote. Its description in RNAcentral is "bacterial SSU rRNA". It matches the Rfam family "Eukaryotic small subunit ribosomal RNA", at positions 326 to 785 of the family's 1831-position model. The record is from RNAcentral.
CGGCGGGGUAGAGGCCCGCCGCGGUAACGACGGGUAACGGGGAAUCAGGGUUCGAUUCCGGAGAGGGAGCCCGAGAAACGGCUACCACUUCCAAGGAAGGCAGCAGGCGCGCAACUUACCCUAAUCUCGAUUCGAGGAGUUAGUGACAAGAAAUACCGAUGCGGGACCCUACGGGUGCCGCGUUCGGAAUGAGUACGAUUCGAACCACCUAACGAGGAACGAUCGGAGGGCAAGUCUGGUGCCAGCAGCCGCGGUAAUUCCAGCUCCAAUAGCGUACGUUAAAGUUGCUGCAGUUAAAAAGCUCGUAGUUGAACGUUCGGGUUCCGCGGGACGGGGCCGCCCCGCGAGGGACGGCGCCGCCCCGGGGCUCGUGAUAUCUCAUCUCGCCGCCCGUCGCGAGGCGGACGGAGGGAUGGAUGAGGUUACCUGGAAAAAAUCGGGGCGAUCUAGGCGGGC